AAUAUCUCUCAGCGCCUGUGGAGGGAGGAGCACAUUUACAAGUUAUGUACCCAUGGAUGUGCAAACCUUCUUUGUAUGAAAGGUUUGACAAACGGCAAGUAUGUGUUGAGAUGAUUUGCCCCUGUGCUCUUGUGGGAAAUGUAGAUCUCCUUGAGAAGCUCAAGAAGAAGAACAGAGAAGCGGAUCUCAGAGUCUAUGAGCAUAGAGGGUUUUCUAGCAUUUUCAUUUCAGCUGUGGAGCAAUUUUCUCAAACAUACGCACCAACAUUCUACGCUGCUCUGGAUCUUCUCCCUCUUUGCUCUACAUAUGAUCAAGCAGGAUCCAGGAGUGUUACCUUUGUUAUCACUGCAAGACAACAGAAACUCAUCUCAGCAGGUCUUAUUGAUUUCUGGACGAAAACUUACUCAUGCUCCGUUCACUGUUUGG
Brassica napus (rape) is the source of this 426-nucleotide long non-coding RNA. RefSeq lists it as uncharacterized. NCBI's taxonomy places the organism in Eukaryota, Viridiplantae, Streptophyta, Magnoliopsida, Brassicales, Brassicaceae. The transcript has 2 exons. The record is from RefSeq and is a predicted model, not a curated record.